RNAcentral lists this ribosomal RNA (205 nucleotides) under uncultured bacterium. RNAcentral describes it as "partial 16S ribosomal RNA". It matches the Rfam family "Bacterial small subunit ribosomal RNA", at positions 28 to 258 of the family's 1533-position model. The record is from RNAcentral.
GAUGAACGCUAGCGGCAGGCUUAAUACAUGCAAGUCGAGCGCUCGUAGCAAUACGAGAGCGGCAGACGGGAGAGUAACACGUGGGGAACGUACCCUUUGGUUCGGAACAACACAGGGAAACUUGUGCUAAUACCGAAUAAGCCCUUACGGGGAAAGAUUUAUCGCCGAAGGAUCGGCCCGCGUCUGAUUAGCUAGUUGGUGGGGU